Chroicocephalus ridibundus (black-headed gull) is the source of this 1206-nucleotide long non-coding RNA. RefSeq lists it as uncharacterized. The transcript has 3 exons. The record is from RefSeq and is a predicted model, not a curated record. NCBI's taxonomy places the organism in Eukaryota, Metazoa, Chordata, Aves, Charadriiformes, Laridae.
GCCCGCCCGAGGCUGCGCCGAGCUCCGCGCAGCCCUCCGCGCCUCUCGCCGCGCCGCUCCGCCCGGCUCCCCCGCUAACAGGCACCUCGCAAGGCAGGCAGCAUACUGCCAGCAGCCGGCCCGGCCCCGCUACCCAGAACCCAGAUGCAAUUUCACACUUUCCUGGAAGGGGAUUCUGGAUUCUUCGGAAAGCAGCGACACGAUCGCAACUGCAGUGAAAAUUAAUUACUAUCAUCUACAAUUAAUAGAAGCAUGCCACCGUUUGACUUCGUGUUUCAUUACAUAAUCAUUUCGCCACGUCUCUCGAUUAAAGUGUCUCCCACUUCUGAAAGGCUCGGUUUCGCCCUCUGUGAAGCACGCAAGAACCUCACUAUUCCCUUCCAUCGGAGCUGGAUCGGGCCCUGGCAUAUGGACGGGGGCUGUACGUAGUUGCUACAGCACUCAUUUGACAAGCACUCAUUUGGAUGGAGGGGCGCAGUAAAUGUUCAUAUACAACUAAAUAGUCAGGUAGAACGCUAAGCUGGAUCCUUGAUAGUUUUAACUUGUGAACCUUUCCCUUAACCAUGUUUUUCCAAUUUUCCCGCUAAUUUACAAGUGCAUUUUACAUGUUACCGUGGGCCACACUUCGUUUUCAUGUCAGCCUGUUGGCGCACCUUUUGUAGGUGGUGCCGUCCAGAGGCUGCUGCAGAAUUCACCUUAAUAGUGCAUAUACUUUCUUUGGGAAAACCUUCCCAGUUUAGCUGGAAUACAGGCUGAAUCCAGCCUUGACCGCUGCACAGAAAAGCGGCAAAGGCAUAAAAAGUCCCGUGGCGCGGAAAUGCUGUCCCCUUCCUUGGUGGCUUGGCGAGGGCGUGGGGCAGGUGACCGCUCAGUCGCUGGAUGCGCUUUGCAGCUUCACACAGGGGGGAAACAGGCGCCCAGACUCGCGCUUGAUAACGGGAGCUGCAAACGUGCAGCAGCAGGAUAGAUCCCCAUCCUUUAGUAUGCAAAGCAUGUCCACUAGGUGAUGUACAUGCUGCAAGAGCUGACAUAUUACCUGCUUCUCUCUCUGCUCAUACUAUUGUUUAUCCUUUGCUUUUGGUAGUGAGGAAAACAUGUUAAGGUCCUUCCAAAUUAAAAAAGAGAAGCUAUCCGCUUGCAGGAGUUUACAGGCUCCACUGCUGUACCCUUUGACAUCUUCUCCUUGUCUAAUGUGACAGAUUUUAA